RNAcentral lists this ribosomal RNA (2929 nucleotides) under Salmonella enterica subsp. enterica serovar Saintpaul. Its description in RNAcentral is "bacterial LSU rRNA". It matches the Rfam family "Bacterial large subunit ribosomal RNA". The record is from RNAcentral. Lineage: Bacteria; Pseudomonadati; Pseudomonadota; Gammaproteobacteria; Enterobacterales; Enterobacteriaceae.
GGGUUGUGAGGUUAAGCGACUAAGCGUACACGGUGGAUGCCCUGGCAGUCAGAGGCGAUGAAGGGCGUGCUAAUCUGCGAUAAGCGCCGGUAAGGUGAUAUGAACCGUUAUAACCGGCGAUACCCGAAUGGGGAAACCCAGUGUGAUUCGUCACACUAUCAUUAACUGAAUCCAUAGGUUAAUGAGGCGAACCGGGGGAACUGAAACAUCUAAGUACCCCGAGGAAAAGAAAUCAACCGAGAUUCCCCCAGUAGCGGCGAGCGAACGGGGAGGAGCCCAGAGCCUGAAUCAGCAUGUGUGUUAGUGGAAGCGUCUGGAAAGGCGCGCGAUACAGGGUGACAGCCCCGUACACAAAAGCGCAUGUGCUGUGAGCUCGAUGAGUAGGGCGGGACACGUGGUAUCCUGUCUGAAUAUGGGGGGACCAUCCUCCAAGGCUAAAUACUCCUGACUGACCGAUAGUGAACCAGUACCGUGAGGGAAAGGCGAAAAGAACCCCGGCGAGGGGAGUGAAAAAGAACCUGAAACCGUGUACGUACAAGCAGUGGGAGCACAGGUUUACCUGUGUGACUGCGUACCUUUUGUAUAAUGGGUCAGCGACUUAUAUUCUGUAGCAAGGUUAACCGUAUAGGGGAGCCGGAGGGAAACCGAGUCUUAACCGGGCGUUAAGUUGCAGGGUAUAGACCCGAAACCCGGUGAUCUAGCCAUGGGCAGGUUGAAGGUUGGGUAACACUAACUGGAGGACCGAACCGACUAAUGUUGAAAAAUUAGCGGAUGACCUGUGGCUGGGGGUGAAAGGCCAAUCAAACCGGGAGAUAGCUGGUUCUCCCCGAAAGCUAUUUAGGUAGCGCCUCGUGAAUUCAUCUCCGGGGGUAGAGCACUGUUUCGGCUAGGGGGCCAUCCCGGCUUACCAACCCGAUGCAAACUGCGAAUACCGGAGAAUGUUAUCACGGGAGACACACGGCGGGUGCUAACGUCCGUCGUGAAGAGGGAAACAACCCAGACCGCCAGCUAAGGUCCCAAAGUCAUGGUUAAGUGGGAAACGAUGUGGGAAGGCCCAGACAGCCAGGAUGUUGGCUUAGAAGCAGCCAUCAUUUAAAGAAAGCGUAAUAGCUCACUGGUCGAGUCGGCCUGCGCGGAAGAUGUAACGGGGCUAAACCAUGCACCGAAGCUGCGGCAGCGACGCUUAUGCGUUGUUGGGUAGGGGAGCGUUCUGUAAGCCUGUGAAGGUGGCCUGUGAGGGUUGCUGGAGGUAUCAGAAGUGCGAAUGCUGACAUAAGUAACGAUAAAGCGGGUGAAAAGCCCGCUCGCCGGAAGACCAAGGGUUCCUGUCCAACGUUAAUCGGGGCAGGGUGAGUCGACCCCUAAGGCGAGGCCGAAAGGCGUAGUCGAUGGGAAACGGGUUAAUAUUCCCGUACUUGGUGUUACUGCGAAGGGGGGACGGAGAAGGCUAUGUUGGCCGGGCGACGGUUGUCCCGGUUUAAGCGUGUAGGUGUGUGUUCCAGGUAAAUCCGGUUCACUUUAACACUGAGGCGUGACGACGAGGCACUACGGUGCUGAAGCAACAAAUGCCCUGCUUCCAGGAAAAGCCUCUAAGCAUCAGGUAACAUCAAAUCGUACCCCAAACCGACACAGGUGGUCAGGUAGAGAAUACCAAGGCGCUUGAGAGAACUCGGGUGAAGGAACUAGGCAAAAUGGUGCCGUAACUUCGGGAGAAGGCACGCUGACAUGUAGGUGAAGUGAUUUACUCAUGGAGCUGAAGUCAGUCGAAGAUACCAGCUGGCUGCAACUGUUUAUUAAAAACACAGCACUGUGCAAACACGAAAGUGGACGUAUACGGUGUGACGCCUGCCCGGUGCCGGAAGGUUAAUUGAUGGGGUCAGCGCAAGCGAAGCUCCUGAUCGAAGCCCCGGUAAACGGCGGCCGUAACUAUAACGGUCCUAAGGUAGCGAAAUUCCUUGUCGGGUAAGUUCCGACCUGCACGAAUGGCGUAAUGAUGGCCAGGCUGUCUCCACCCGAGACUCAGUGAAAUUGAACUCGCUGUGAAGAUGCAGUGUACCCGCGGCAAGACGGAAAGACCCCGUGAACCUUUACUAUAGCUUGACACUGAACAUUGAGCCUUGAUGUGUAGGAUAGGUGGGAGGCUUUGAAGUGUGGACGCCAGUCUGCAUGGAGCCGACCUUGAAAUACCACCCUUUAAUGUUUGAUGUUCUAACGUGGACCCGUUACCCGGGUUGCGGACAGUGUCUGGUGGGUAGUUUGACUGGGGCGGUCUCCUCCUAAAGAGUAACGGAGGAGCACGAAGGUUGGCUAAUCCUGGUCGGACAUCAGGAGGUUAGUGCAAUGGCAUAAGCCAGCUUGACUGCGAGCGUGACGGCGCGAGCAGGUGCGAAAGCAGGUCAUAGUGAUCCGGUGGUUCUGAAUGGAAGGGCCAUCGCUCAACGGAUAAAAGGUACUCCGGGGAUAACAGGCUGAUACCGCCCAAGAGUUCAUAUCGACGGCGGUGUUUGGCACCUCGAUGUCGGCUCAUCACAUCCUGGGGCUGAAGUAGGUCCCAAGGGUAUGGCUGUUCGCCAUUUAAAGUGGUACGCGAGCUGGGUUUAGAACGUCGUGAGACAGUUCGGUCCCUAUCUGCCGUGGGCGCUGGAGAACUGAGGGGGGCUGCUCCUAGUACGAGAGGACCGGAGUGGACGCAUCACUGGUGUUCGGGUUGUCAUGCCAAUGGCACUGCCCGGUAGCUAAAUGCGGAAGAGAUAAGUGCUGAAAGCAUCUAAGCACGAAACUUGCCCCGAGAUGAGUUCUCCCUGAGACUUAGAGUCUCCUGAAGGAACGUUGAAGACGACGACGUUGAUAGGCCGGGUGUGUAAGCGCAGCGAUGCGUUGAGCUAACCGGUACUAAUGAACCGUGAGGCUUAACCUUACAACGCCGAAG